Callithrix jacchus (white-tufted-ear marmoset) is the source of this 1039-nucleotide non-coding RNA. NCBI's taxonomy places the organism in Eukaryota, Metazoa, Chordata, Mammalia, Primates, Cebidae. The record is from RefSeq and is a predicted model, not a curated record.
AGAGAGCAGAGAGCACCAUUUAAUUCACAGAAGCAUCUCUUUACAGAGCUGCAAAGAUCCCACAGUUUUGGUUAUUAAACCAAAUUGGCUACUGCCCAAUUUGUUGAUUUGGGGAUUAUAGCGAACUCUGAAACUCAGGUGCACCUACACCAACCCACCAACCAGAACUAUCUCACCUAAUACAGAGUUUUGCUAUUGUUGACCAGUCUGGAGUACAGUGGCACAACCUCGACUGACUGCAACCUCAGCCUUCUGGUUUCAAGCAAUUCUCCUGCUUCAGCCUCCCAAGUAGCUGGGAUUACAGGCACCCACUGACAUGCCAGAAAAUUAAAGCAACAGAAGAAUCUUCCGGUUUUCCAUCAUGACAAAUACCUGUCUCCAAGCAUCUGGAGCCACACACUCCUGCCCAUACUCGUGUCUAGAAGGCUCACUGGUGGAAAGGACAUUCCUUCAUCUCAGAUGAUACUUCGGACUGUGGGUUUUGAGUUGAUGCUGAAAUAAGUUAAGACUGAGGGACUGGUGAGAAGGAAUAAUUGUAUUUUGUAAGAUGCUUCCUGACCUGGAACAUAGAACUCCAAGUUCUUCACCUUUGAGAUUCUUGGGCAUUCUGCCACAGACUGAAGGCUGCACUGUCGGCUUCCCUAUUUUUGAAAAUUUGGAACUGGGACUGACUUCCUUACUCCUCAUCUUGAAGAUGGUCUACUGUGGGACGUCACCUUGUGAUCACGACAUGAACUUGGGACCCACCGAACAGCAGGUGCAAAAAGGGCUGUAACACCUUCCUGAAUGGAUCACCAAGCUGCAGGUAAGACUGAAAGGAGCUGUAACAUGUUCCCGGUGAGCUCUCCAAGCUCCCAUUUGCCAAACGUCUCGGGGCCCAGACCCCGGGAAUCCCGGAGUCAGAACUGUAAUACUAUAUCCCUCCUUCCCUCCUCCAAUGUCAGGUGGAAAUGACAUUGGAGCCAUUCUACAGUGUAUUAAAUGGUAUCAUAUCAAUGAUUUAGUUUGUAUGUCCCUAUUGAGUAAAGAUGUUGAGUAU